UUGGGUUAAGUCCGUACGAGCGCAACCCUUGUCCUUAGUUACCAGCACGUUAUGGUGGGCACUCUAAGGAGACUGCCGGUGGACAAACCGGAGGAAGGUGGGGAUGACGUCAAGUCAUCAUGGCCCUUACGGCCUGGGCUACACACGUGCUACAAUGGUCGGUACAAAGGGUUGCCAAGCCGCGAGGUGGAGCUAAUCCCAUAAAACCGAUCGUAGUCCGGAUCGCAGUCUGCAACUCGACUGCGUGAAGUCGGAAUCGCUAGUAAUCGUGAAUCAGAAUGUCACGGUGAAUACGUUCCCGGGCCUU
RNAcentral lists this ribosomal RNA (307 nucleotides) under uncultured Pseudomonas sp. RNAcentral's name for it is "bacterial SSU rRNA". It matches the Rfam family "Bacterial small subunit ribosomal RNA", at positions 1075 to 1382 of the family's 1533-position model. Lineage: Bacteria; Pseudomonadati; Pseudomonadota; Gammaproteobacteria; Pseudomonadales; Pseudomonadaceae. The record is from RNAcentral.